AUUGAACGCUGGCGGCAGGCCUAACACAUGCAAGUCGAGCGGCAGUUGAACCUUCGGGGAACGUAAAGGGCGGCGAGCGGCGGACGGGUGAGUAAUGCCUGGGAAUAUGCCCUGAUGUGGGGGAUAACUAUUGGAAACGAUAGCUAAUACCGCAUAAUCUCUUCGGAGCAAAGAGGGGGACCUUCGGGCCUCUCGCGUCAGGAUUAGCCCAGGUGGGAUUAGCUUGUUGGUGAGGUAAUGGCUCACCAAGGCAACGAUCCCUAGCUGGUCUGAGAGGAUGAUCAGCCACACUGGAACUGAGACACGGUCCAGACUCCUACGGGAGGCAGCAGUGGGGAAUAUUGCACAAUGGGGGAAACCCUGAUGCAGCCAUGCCGCGUGUGUGAAGAAGGCCUUCGGGUUGUAAAGCACUUUCAGUAGGGAGGAAGGUAGUGUAGUUAACACCUGCAUUAUUUGACGUUACCUACAGAAGAAGCACCGGCUAACUCCGUGCCAGCAGCCGCGGUAAUACGGAGGGUGCGAGCGUUAAUCGGAAUUACUGGGCGUAAAGCGCAUGCAGGCGGCCUGUUAAGUCAGAUGUGAAAGCCCGGGGCUUAACCUCGGAAUUGCAUUUGAAACUGGCAGGCUAGAGUCUUGUAGAGGGGGGUAGAAUUUCAGGUGUAGCGGUGAAAUGCGUAGAGAUCUGAAGGAAUACCAGUGGCGAAGGCGGCCCCCUGGACAAAGACUGACGCUCAGAUGCGAAAGCGUGGGGAGCAAACAGG
RNAcentral lists this ribosomal RNA (761 nucleotides) under uncultured bacterium. RNAcentral describes it as "bacterial SSU rRNA". It matches the Rfam family "Bacterial small subunit ribosomal RNA", at positions 28 to 776 of the family's 1533-position model. The record is from RNAcentral.